AGUGAACGCUGGCGGUAGGCCUAACACAUGCAAGUCGAACGGCAGCACCGUAAGAGCUUGCUCUUACGGGUGGCGAGUGGCGGACGGGUGAGGAAUACAUCGGAAUCUACUUUUUCGUGGGGGAUAACGUAGGGAAACUUACGCUAAUACAGCAUACGACCUACGGGUGAAAGCAGUGGAUCUUCGGACCUUGCGCGAUUGAAUGAGCCGAUGUCGGAUUAGCUAGUUGGCGGGGUAAAGGCCCAGCAAGGCGACGAUCCGUAGCUGGUCUGAGAGGAUGAUCAGCCACACUGGAACUGAAACACGGUCCAGAGUCCUACGGGAGGCAGCAGUGGGGAAUAUUGGACAAUGGGGGCAAGCCUGAUCCAGCCAGACCGCGUGGGUGAAGAAGGCCUUCGGGUUGUAAAGCCCUUUUGUUGGGAAAGAAAAGCAGCAGGUUAAUACCCCGCGGUUCUGACGGUACCCAAAGAAUAAGCACCGGCUAACUUCGUG
RNAcentral lists this ribosomal RNA (492 nucleotides) under uncultured bacterium. Its description in RNAcentral is "partial 16S ribosomal RNA". It matches the Rfam family "Bacterial small subunit ribosomal RNA", at positions 29 to 507 of the family's 1533-position model. The record is from RNAcentral.